Molecule: ribosomal RNA, 273 nt
Filed under: uncultured bacterium
Lineage: Bacteria
Description: partial 16S ribosomal RNA
Rfam family: Bacterial small subunit ribosomal RNA
Source: RNAcentral
UACGGAAGGGGCAAGCGUUGUUCGGAAUCAUUGGGCGUAAAGGGCGCGUAGGUGGUCGUGUAUGUCUCCCGUGAAAGCCCACGGCUCAACCGUGGGGUGUCGGGAGAAACUGCAGGACUUGAGGCUGGGAGGGGCUGGUGGAAUUCCCUGUGUAGCGGUGAAAUGCGUAGAGAUGGGGGAGAACACUCGUGGCGAAGGCGGCCAGCUAGACCAGUUCUGACACUGAGGCGCGACAGCGUGGGGAGCAAACAGGAUUAGAUACCCCAGUAGUCC